AGGAUGGCUCGACUAACCCAACCAUCAUCAGAUAGUUCAUCAGAGUCAACAUAUGAUGAAUGACAAUUUCAUCAUUCAGAGAGAACAUCAGAUGGAUGGCACCUGCAAUGUCAAUCAAAAAUAAUGGACCCAUUAUCACUCACUUUAAUGGGAGGCUAUGAUCUAGUUAUCACCAUAACUAGCUCAUUUUAAAGACCUAAUAAUUUAAAAAUUUUAAUCAAUUUAAAGAAGAGAGGAGAAGAAAAGAUCAAUCAGUAAACCAUAAUCUUUCCACUGACUUCACCAAGUCAUUGAAUCGAGUUAGGUCAUGCUGAUUGAACUGGCACCU
This 328-nucleotide long non-coding RNA is filed under the name Elaeis guineensis (African oil palm). RNAcentral's name for it is "long non-coding RNA (EGUI_LNC065602)". The record is from RNAcentral. Lineage: Eukaryota; Viridiplantae; Streptophyta; Magnoliopsida; Arecales; Arecaceae.